GUGCUCACUUCAGCCCUACAUUUACUACAACUGGGAUGAUACAGAGAAGAUUAGCAUGGCCCCUGCACAAGGAUAACACACAAACUCAUGAAGCGUUCCAUAUUAAA
This is a small nuclear RNA of Peromyscus maniculatus bairdii (prairie deer mouse), 107 nucleotides long. The record is from Ensembl. NCBI's taxonomy places the organism in Eukaryota, Metazoa, Chordata, Mammalia, Rodentia, Cricetidae.